GGUGGGACGGGCGCGCGCACGCGGUCCUGCCGGGCCGGGCGGGCGGGAGCGCGCGGAGCGUCCGCGGCCCUGGGGCCAAGCGGCGCUGUGGGGAGAGGUUCAUGAAUAGUAUGGUUUAUUGAAGCGGCAGAAGUGUAAGGGGGAAUGGAAAGCGAGAAUAACUGUAAGACCACUGUUAAGUCCUGAAGACAGACACAGCAGGCACUGUGCUGGGACAAUUGGUCAGUGGGGUCUUGGGCUGUGCUGUGCCUCUGCCUCUGCUGGUGGCCAGGCAGGGCAGUCCUGAGCCCCAAACUGGGAGAAGCAGUAAGCAGUCCUUGCAAUGUGCUUGCUCUAAGGCUUCCUUGUGACUGGAUAAUCUGUGGACAGCAAUGGACUCGUGUCAUGGAGCAUGAGAGCCACUUCCAGAAGCUGUGAUGAGAAAUCGUUUGUUUAUCCAAAUAUAAAUUGGAAUAAAAUACAUUAU
Molecule: long non-coding RNA, 466 nt
Organism: Zonotrichia leucophrys gambelii
Lineage: Eukaryota; Metazoa; Chordata; Aves; Passeriformes; Passerellidae
Exons: 3
Source: RefSeq, a predicted model, not a curated record